This 88-nucleotide ribosomal RNA is filed under the name Litorilituus lipolyticus. The record is from RNAcentral. Lineage: Bacteria; Pseudomonadati; Pseudomonadota; Gammaproteobacteria; Alteromonadales; Colwelliaceae.
CCUGAUCCCAUUCCGAACUCAGAAGUGAAAUGUGUUAGCGCCGAUGGUAGUGUGGGAGUUCCCAUGUGAGAGUAGGACAUUGCUAAGC